This 1132-nucleotide ribosomal RNA is filed under the name Escherichia coli. RNAcentral describes it as "partial 23S ribosomal RNA". It matches the Rfam family "Bacterial large subunit ribosomal RNA", at positions 600 to 1735 of the family's 2925-position model. The record is from RNAcentral. Lineage: Bacteria; Pseudomonadati; Pseudomonadota; Gammaproteobacteria; Enterobacterales; Enterobacteriaceae.
CGUACCUUUUGUAUAAUGGGUCAGCGACUUAUAUUCUGUAGCAAGGUUAACCGAAUAGGGGAGCCGAAGGGAAACCGAGUCUUAACUGGGCGUUAAGUUGCAGGGUAUAGACCCGAAACCCGGUGAUCUAGCCAUGGGCAGGUUGAAGGUUGGGUAACACUAACUGGAGGACCGAACCGACUAAUGUUGAAAAAUUAGCGGAUGACUUGUGGCUGGGGGUGAAAGGCCAAUCAAACCGGGAGAUAGCUGGUUCUCCCCGAAAGCUAUUUAGGUAGCGCCUCGUGAAUUCAUCUCCGGGGGUAGAGCACUGUUUCGGCAAGGGGGUCAUCCCGACUUACCAACCCGAUGCAAACUGCGAAUACCGGAGAAUGUUAUCACGGGAGACACACGGCGGGUGCUAACGUCCGUCGUGAAGAGGGAAACAACCCAGACCGCCAGCUAAGGUCCCAAAGUCAUGGUUAAGUGGGAAACGAUGUGGGAAGGCCCAGACAGCCAGGAUGUUGGCUUAGAAGCAGCCAUCAUUUAAAGAAAGCGUAAUAGCUCACUGGUCGAGUCGGCCUGCGCGGAAGAUGUAACGGGGCUAAACCAUGCACCGAAGCUGCGGCAGCGACACUAUGUGUUGUUGGGUAGGGGAGCGUUCUGUAAGCCUGCGAAGGUGUACUGUGAGGUAUGCUGGAGGUAUCAGAAGUGCGAAUGCUGACAUAAGUAACGAUAAAGCGGGUGAAAAGCCCGCUCGCCGGAAGACCAAGGGUUCCUGUCCAACGUUAAUCGGGGCAGGGUGAGUCGACCCCUAAGGCGAGGCCGAAAGGCGUAGUCGAUGGGAAACAGGUUAAUAUUCCUGUACUUGGUGUUACUGCGAAGGGGGGACGGAGAAGGCUAUGUUGGCCGGGCGACGGUUGUCCCGGUUUAAGCGUGUAGGCUGGUUUUCCAGGCAAAUCCGGAAAAUCAAGGCUGAGGCGUGAUGACGAGGCACUACGGUGCUGAAGCAACAAAUGCCCUGCUUCCAGGAAAAGCCUCUAAGCAUCAGGUAACAUCAAAUCGUACCCCAAACCGACACAGGUGGUCAGGUAGAGAAUACCAAGGCGCUUGAGAGAACUCGGGUGAAGGAACUAGGCAAAAUGGUGCCGUAACU